UGAGGAAUAUUGGUCAAUGGGCGAAAGCCUGAACCAGCCAAGUAGCGUGCAGGAUGACGGCCCUCUGGGUUGUAAACUGCUUUUAGUCGGGAAUAAAAUGCGGCACGUGUGCCGCUUUGCAUGUACCGUCAGAAAAAGGACCGGCUAAUUCCGUGCCAGCAGCCGCGGUAAUACGGAAGGUCCAGGCGUUAUCCGGAUUUAUUGGGUUUAAAGGGUGCGUAGGCUGUAAGUCAAGUCAGCGGUGAAAAAGUCGGGGCUAAACCUUGAGGGUGCCGUUGAAACUGAUUUACUAGAAUGUGGAUGAUGCCGGCGGAAUGUGUCAAGUAGCGGUGAAAUGCAUAGAUAUGACACAGAAGGCCGAUUGCGAAGGCAGCUGGCAAAGGCACGAUUGACGCUGAGGCACGAAAGUGCGGGGAUCGAACAGGAUUAGAUACCCUGGUAGU
Molecule: ribosomal RNA, 443 nt
Filed under: uncultured Prevotellaceae bacterium
Lineage: Bacteria; Pseudomonadati; Bacteroidota; Bacteroidia; Bacteroidales; Prevotellaceae
Description: bacterial SSU rRNA
Rfam family: Bacterial small subunit ribosomal RNA
Source: RNAcentral